GGACAUGAGAGUGAUCCACUGAUCACCAGGGUGGAUUCUACUGAUCUAUCUGGCUAGGCGGUUGUUCUGUUUCUCUCUCUUCACUCCAUGUGCUUCCCUCCCGAGGCUGUGCACUCAGUGGAAGGGGACUUCCUUCCCUGAUAGGAUAGGACAGUUCUUUGGUCAAGGGUAUAUGAGUAGCUGUGCUCUCCUGCUAGAAUCUCCAAACAGCUCUCAAGGUCCAUUUGUAGGAGAA
This 235-nucleotide small nuclear RNA is filed under the name Pteropus alecto (black flying fox). RNAcentral's name for it is "7SK RNA". It matches the Rfam family "7SK RNA", at positions 1 to 257 of the family's 331-position model. Rfam says of the family: 7SK was discovered as an abundant small nuclear RNA in the mid-70s but a possible function has only recently been suggested. Lineage: Eukaryota; Metazoa; Chordata; Mammalia; Chiroptera; Pteropodidae. The record is from Rfam by way of RNAcentral.